GGUUAAGUUAGAAAGGGCGCACGAUGGAUGCCUUGACACUAGGAGUCGAUGAAGGACGGGACUAACGCCGAUAUGCUUCGGGGAGCUGUAAGUAAGCUUUGAUCCGAAGAUUUCCGAAUGGGGAAACCCAAUCGUCG
Molecule: ribosomal RNA, 137 nt
Filed under: Bacillus thuringiensis
Lineage: Bacteria; Bacillati; Bacillota; Bacilli; Caryophanales; Bacillaceae
Description: partial 23S ribosomal RNA
Rfam family: Bacterial large subunit ribosomal RNA
Source: RNAcentral